RNAcentral lists this long non-coding RNA (331 nucleotides) under Volvox carteri. RNAcentral's name for it is "long non-coding RNA (VCAR_LNC002663)". The record is from RNAcentral. Lineage: Eukaryota; Viridiplantae; Chlorophyta; Chlorophyceae; Chlamydomonadales; Volvocaceae.
CUUGCGUUGACUGGUCUGGGUGCGCGUCUUCGGAAUCCCUGAGAUGACCAGGGCAGUAAUAUUGCACGGCCAGCAAAUGGCCCGCUGGCUCUACUCUUCACGAGUCUGGAUAGCCCACUGUAACAACACCACACACACCCGUACAAGCACGUGCACAUGCAGUAAAUCCGAACACGGCUGUGACAUGGCCUUGUUGCUUUGUCCGGAGACAAUACAAUCCGUUAAUGUAUAGGGAUAUAUUUUUACAUGAUGUGUAAAUUCAAUAUCUUUUUGUAUUUGUAUCUCCAACUCCAACUAGGCGCUGGUGGACGUCGGUCUGCGUCGGUCUGCG